RNAcentral lists this ribosomal RNA (253 nucleotides) under uncultured bacterium. RNAcentral's name for it is "partial 16S ribosomal RNA". It matches the Rfam family "Bacterial small subunit ribosomal RNA", at positions 524 to 776 of the family's 1533-position model. The record is from RNAcentral.
UACGGGGGGAGCAAGCGUUGUUCGGAUUUACUGGGCGUAAAGGGCGCGUAGGCGGCUUAUCAAGUCGGGGGUGAAAGCCCGUGGCUCAACCACGGAAUGGCCUUCGAUACUGGUAGGCUUGAGACCGGAAGAGGACAGCGGAACUGCGAGUGUAGAGGUGAAAUUCGUAGAUAUUCGGAAGAACACCAGUGGCGAAGGCGGCUAACUGGCCCAUUACUGACGCUGAGGCUCGAAAGCGUGGGGAGCAAACAGG